RNAcentral lists this ribosomal RNA (38 nucleotides) under Symbiodinium sp. Two0501-6. RNAcentral describes it as "partial 28S ribosomal RNA". Lineage: Eukaryota; Dinophyceae; Suessiales; Symbiodiniaceae. The record is from RNAcentral.
CAGGUGCAUGCCUCUAGCAUGAAGUCAGGCAAGUGAAC